Molecule: ribosomal RNA, 468 nt
Filed under: uncultured bacterium
Lineage: Bacteria
Description: partial 16S ribosomal RNA
Rfam family: Bacterial small subunit ribosomal RNA
Source: RNAcentral
GACGAACGCUGGCGGCGUGCUUAACACAUGCAAGUCGAACGGAAAGGCCCUGCUUUUGUGGGGUGCUCGUGUGGCGAACGGGUGAGUAACACGUGAGUAACCUGCCCUUGACUUUGGGAUAACUUCAGGAAACUGGGGCUAAUACCGGAUAGGAGCUCCUGCUGCAUGGUGGUGGUUGGAAAGAUUCGGCGGUUGGGGAUGGUUUCGCGGCUUAUGAGCUGGUUGGUGGGGUAGUGGAUGACCAAGGCUUUGAAGGGUAGCCGGCCUGAGAGGGUGGCCGGCGACAUUGGGACUGAGAUACGGCCCAGACUCCUACGGGAGGCAGCGGUGGGGAAUAUUGCACAGUGGGCGGGAGCCUGAUGCAGCAGCGCCGCGUGCGGGAUGACGGCCUUCGGGUUGUGAACCGCUGUCGCCUGUGACGAAGCGUGAGUGACGGUAAUGAGUAAAGAAGCACCGGCUAACUACGUG